Molecule: ribosomal RNA, 492 nt
Filed under: uncultured bacterium
Lineage: Bacteria
Description: partial 16S ribosomal RNA
Rfam family: Bacterial small subunit ribosomal RNA
Source: RNAcentral
UGGGGAAUAUUGGACAAUGGGGGCAACCCUGAUCCAGCAAUGCCGCGUGUGUGAAGAAGGUCUUCGGAUUGUAAAGCACUUUCGACGGGGACGAUGAUGACGGUACCCGUAGAAGAAGCCCCGGCUAACUUCGUGCCAGCAGCCGCGGUAAUACGAAGGGGGCUAGCGUUGCUCGGAAUGACUGGGCGUAAAGGGCGUGUAGGCGGUUUACACAGUCAGAUGUGAAAUCCCCGGGCUUAACCUGGGAGCUGCAUUUGAUACGUGUAGACUAGGGUGUGAGAGAGGGUUGUGGAAUUCCCAGUGUAGAGGUGAAAUUCGUAGAUAUUGGGAAGAACACCGGUGGCGAAGGCGGCAACCUGGCUCAUGACUGACGCUGAGGCGCGAAAGCGUGGGGAGCAAACAGGUUAGAUACCCUGGUAGUCCACGCUGUAAACGAUGUGUGCUAGAUGUUGGGUAACUUUGUUAUUCAGUGUCGCAGUUAACGCGUUAAGC